This 668-nucleotide ribosomal RNA is filed under the name uncultured bacterium. RNAcentral's name for it is "bacterial SSU rRNA". It matches the Rfam family "Bacterial small subunit ribosomal RNA", at positions 836 to 1502 of the family's 1533-position model. The record is from RNAcentral.
UCCCUCUGUGCCGCAGAGAACUCGAUAAGUAUUCCGCCUGGGGAGUACGGCCGCAAGGCUGAAACUCAAAGGAAUUGACGGGGGCCCGCACAAGCGGUGGAGCAUGUGGUUUAAUUCGACGCAACGCGAAGAACCUUACCGGGGUUUGAACUUGGCCGGCGACCCUUAGAGAUAGGGGGUUCCUUUCGGGGACUGGUCAAGAGGUGCUGCAUGGCUGUCGUCAGCUCAUGUCGUGAGAUGUUGGGUUAAGUCCCGCAACGAGCGCAACCCUUGUCUGUAGUUGCCAUCAGGUGAAGCUGGGCACUCUACGGAGACUGUCGGCGAAAAGCCGGAGGAAGGUGGGGAUGACGUCAAGUCCUCAUGGCCUUUAUGUCCCGGGCUACACACGUGCUACAAUGGGCGGAACAGAGGGCAGCGAACCUGUGAAGGCAAGCGAAUCCCAGAAAUCCGCUCUCAGUUCAGAUUGCAGUCUGCAACUCGACUGCAUGAAGUUGGAAUCGCUAGUAAUCGCGGAUCAGAACGCCGCGGUGAAUACGUUCCCGGGCCUUGUACACACCGCCCGUCACAUCACGAAAGUGGGCUGUACUAGAAGCCGCUGGCCUAACCUUAGGGAGGGAGGCGUCGACGGUAUGGCUCAUGAUUGGGGUGAAGUCGUAACAAGGUAGCCG